UAUCGAUGCUCCUUCUAGAUUAUUGCUUAUUUAUAGAUCGCCUGAGAUGACUAAAUUAUGUUUUAUAGUUUGCUUUGACUUCAAUGGUUCGAGUUUUGACCUGGACCAGGUAGUUCAAGUAACAUUGCAUUGUUUGAAUACCGUUAAAUGAUGAAUUAUCAUAUGGAGGAACUAUAUGUAGCAUCUGGACUUCAUCCUACCCUUUUCUGUUGUAUACUUGCAAAGAGCCAAAUGGAAAUUCAACAGAUUCAGUUCACCAUCUAAAUUCA
Long non-coding RNA from Juglans microcarpa x Juglans regia, 269 nucleotides. RefSeq lists it as uncharacterized. NCBI's taxonomy places the organism in Eukaryota, Viridiplantae, Streptophyta, Magnoliopsida, Fagales, Juglandaceae. The record is from RefSeq and is a predicted model, not a curated record. The transcript has 2 exons.